Non-coding RNA from Cinara cedri, 696 nucleotides. Lineage: Eukaryota; Metazoa; Arthropoda; Insecta; Hemiptera; Aphididae. The record is from the annotation of a GenBank genome assembly.
GUGUCUAUAAGUAUUAAGUACUUUAAGAGUAUACAGCGUAUUCAGAGACUAUCCCAUAUUUUAAUACUAUAUUGAAAAAUAACCUGAAAUAAGGUUAGAUAAACAUUACAAUACAGUUCUUUGUUAUGAUUAGACUAAAGGAAUAAAAUGUAUGCACUAUUUAACAUAAUUAAUUACCAAGUCUCUGUAUUCUGAAAAUUUUUUUUAUGAAAAUGAAUAGUUAAAUCAUCGAAAAGAAUAAAUGUGUUAUUUAAGGAAUAAGCAUAAAAAAAAGGUUUGAUAGUUUCCUAUUUUCGAACAAAUCUAUAAUUCUUAUUGUUGUUCAUUGUCCCAUAAGUACUCUGAGAAAAGUAGACAAGUGUAAUUAUUUACCUAUAGUAAAAUUAUAGUUAGAAUAGUUCAUUACUGAGUACUAACUAGUCAGUCUAAAUUUAAUCAUGCAAUGUAACUGGCAUGCAUGUUUAACAUAUACUAUUUGUGUACACACAAAUUUGUAAAACUAUAUAAUUAUUUACAUGGACAUUAGACAUAUUAACUGGUUACAAGGCAUUGACUUUUAAAAAUGUUUAUUAAUAAAACUAAUUAUGAGUAUGUCCUAAAUGUUAAAUCAACAUAUAACUAUUUGUUGUUUGUAAAAACAGUGUAUAUAAAAAUUAUUUUUUGAAAACUACACCUAACUUGAACACAUCAAACAAA